Molecule: long non-coding RNA, 1293 nt
Filed under: Sorghum bicolor (sorghum)
Lineage: Eukaryota; Viridiplantae; Streptophyta; Magnoliopsida; Poales; Poaceae
Description: long non-coding RNA (SBIC_LNC011732)
Source: RNAcentral
UGCGCAGGAACGAGAAAGCACGGCACUUUGGCACAGCUGCACUUGCUUGGACAGGAAUUGCACUCGACCAAGCCUCCUAGCACCAUUCACAGAGAAGAAAAUAAAUUCACCACCGUGACUAGCGAUCAAGUGGAAGAAGUAAAUUUAUUCUUCAUUUCAAGGAUUAACCAAAGAUUGUUUCUGGUAUUUCACGGAUGCAAGAUUGACCAAUCAAAUUUCGAUGACACAAAAGCAAGCACGAACUGACUUGAUUAAAAGCCUGGUGCUUCCACUGGUGCUACACUGGAUGAAAAAAAUGCAGCAGAAAUCGAACGCAAAACACACAACGCAAGGAGGAGGUGCGUCAGGCCUGCAGAAAUCAAACAACGCAGAUCAGGACUGCCUGGCGAGCGUCAAAUCAAUGCUGGAAUCACAAGGCACAUGCUGCGCUUGGCUCUGAAGGCAAUCUAUGCACCUGCAAUCGAUUGGAGACAGGCACCAGGCCUUCUCUGAAAAGUAAGGAAAUUAGGCCUUGUUUAGUUCUGAAAGGUGAAAUUUUUUCGGUACCGUAGCAUUUUCGUUUGUUUGUGACAAAUAUUAUUCAAUCAUGGACUAACUAGGAUCAAAAGAUUCAUCUCGUGAUUUACAGCUAAACUGUGUAAUUAGUUUUUGUUUUCAUCUAUAUUUAAUAUUUCAUACAUGUGCCACAAGAUUUGAUGUGACGGGGAAUCUUGAAAACUUUUUGGUUUUCAGGGUGAACUAAACAAGGCCUUAGAGAGAAGGAACCCCACGACACAGGAAAAAGGCUCUACUUCACACGGAUUAAGCAAGCCGGCAUGCUGAAAAUCAGACGGACGAGCAACUGCGUCAAGGGCGAGCACUGAUCUCAGAAGAGAACGCACGGUGCUUGCACCGGCGCUGGUAGCGCCUCUGCUAAAAUCAUCGACAAGCGACGAACGAGCAGGACCAGUAACGGGCGGACGAACAGAAAGCUAGCAGCCACAAAAUCAGCAAGAACUUGACCAAACCUUCAUGAAUUGCUCCCAAAUUUUGGUUAAAUGAAACUCACCUAGGCACGAAACUAUUCUCCCAAAAUCAUCGCCUGAGAUUGACCAGACUCCGAGAAAUUCAGAUCGUAGCUAAGAACAAAAAAGGGGAAAACCAAAGAACUUAGUGAAUAAAAUCACAGACACAAUAGAUGAAUCCUGCAGGAUAAUUGGAGGAUUCGGGCCUCCAUUCCCAACUCGAAAUUUUCAGUAGCUUACACAAACAUCAAAUUUGUGGACCUCUCAAGAGAAAAAUAAAGGGAGAAAG